CCUUCCGGGCCGCGGAGGGGAACUCCGUGCGGGGAGUUGUACUCUGCCCCCCUGUGGCGGGAGGUGCCGCCUGAGGGUGCCCUGGGGGCCAUUUUGUGCGCUGUGGGGCGCUGGGGCUGUCCUUGUCAUCCCUCGGGGGAUCUGGCGCCUGGCUAGCGUAACUGGAACACACAAAUCCUACACGGUGAUACACGAGUUAACUUCACCAGUGCUAUCAGUUAGCAUGCGAUUAUCACUCUAAAAGAAAGAAAAAGGUCACAUAUAUUACAAGGUCCCAGAACAGUUGCUGGAUUUUCCACAGAUGCAUAUGCCCCAGCUGUAAGCCUGAUUUCUGCUUGCAUUUACAAAGUAUGUCCUGAGGAUGAAGAAGCUGCACAUACUGUAAAGCAAAUUCAGUGAAUUAUAUAUCCUGCUGUGUUCAGGUGUGUAAUUACAGUGUUAAUAAAAAGAAGCCUCAGAAGAGCCAUCAAGCUUGCCAUGUGGGAAUCCUGCAGAAGUUAGGAGCCUGCUCGGUUAACUCAGGCUUCUGCACAGCCUCUGUGCAGCAGGGUUGCUUGUCUGUGGUGCUGCUUUGUGGCCAUUGCAGAAAGGAUGUGGGACAUUCUGGUCCUCUGGUCUUGUGACAAGUGUUAUAUUCCAAGGAAUGCUGUUGUCUCUGGCAGUCACACAGAUGUGCAUUUCUCCUUUUGAGGGACAACUUGGAAGAGCAAGAAGCGUGCCGGUAACACCCUUGGGUGACAACAUCUCUGCAAUGAGUACCAAGCAAAUGAUUUUGCAUUCUGGUGAUCAUUAGUUUUAUACCGUGACACUGAUACAGCACAGCAGCUUGUACACAGAACAAAGCAAAGAUUGAGGUUGCAUGCCAUGUUCCAGUGUGUCUCUAGCCCUGUCAGUGACUGCCUGCUGCUUUCUGGCAAGUAGAUAAGCCACAGAUCCCAAGCUUCAUCCUUAUAAUUCUUAAAGAUGCAAUUGACGAAACCUGGUAAAGAUGCCAGUAAUGCCAUGGAAGGAUCUGAGAGAACAAGGAGAGAAGUGGGAAUAGCUGUAAAGGAGGCUAUCCACAGAAAGCUGUGAAGAAAUGAGACUGAAAAGGUGUGAGAGUGACCUGCUCUGAUGGACCUGCUGUUCCAGGACAUGCUACACUCCACCGGCUUUCUUCCUUUCAGUUGAAUGCAAACAUACAGAAAGCACAUUACAGUGAAACAUGCUGAAGUAAAUUUGGAAGAGAAUUCUGUGCAAUAUUCUGUCCUUUUUUGUAAGUUCUUCUAUUACAACAGUGAUCCAGAAUGAUGAAAUUCUAUGGAAAUGUUAAUAAAAGCCAGAAAGAUUC
Non-coding RNA from Meleagris gallopavo (turkey), 1330 nucleotides. The record is from RefSeq and is a predicted model, not a curated record. NCBI's taxonomy places the organism in Eukaryota, Metazoa, Chordata, Aves, Galliformes, Phasianidae.